GUCUACAGCCAUACCACCCUGAACGAGCCCCAUUUCGUCUGAUCUCAGAAGCUAAGCAGGGUUGGGGUUGGUUAGUACUUGGAUGGGAGAUCAAAGCCAAUAAACUAAAGUAUGUAAAAAAUUGCUGUACUCC
Molecule: ribosomal RNA, 133 nt
Filed under: Ochotona princeps (American pika)
Lineage: Eukaryota; Metazoa; Chordata; Mammalia; Lagomorpha; Ochotonidae
Source: RNAcentral